RNAcentral lists this ribosomal RNA (460 nucleotides) under uncultured bacterium. Its description in RNAcentral is "partial 16S ribosomal RNA". It matches the Rfam family "Bacterial small subunit ribosomal RNA", at positions 338 to 795 of the family's 1533-position model. The record is from RNAcentral.
CCUACGGGAGGCAGCAGUGAGGAAUAUUGGUCAAUGGACGAGAGUCUGAACCAGCCAAGUAGCGUGAAGGAUGACUGCCCUAUGGGUUGUAAACUUCUUUUAUAUGGGAAUAAAACGUUCCACGUGUGGGAUUUUGUAUGUACCAUAUGAAUAAGGAUCGGCUAACUCCGUGCCAGCAGCCGCGGUAAGACGGAGGAUCCGAGCGUUAUCCGGAUUUAUUGGGUUUAAAGGGAGCGUAGGUGGAUUGUUAAGUCAGUUGUGAAAGUUUGCGGCUCAACCGUAAAAUUGCAGUUGAAACUGGCAGUCUUGAGUACAGUAGAGGUGGGCGGAAUUCGUGGUGUAGCGGUGAAAUGCUUAGAUAUCACGAAGAACUCCGAUUGCGAAGGCAGUUCACUGGACUGCAACUGACACUGAGGCUCGAAAGUGUGGGUAUCAAACAGGAUUAGAUACCCCUGUAGUC